RNAcentral lists this ribosomal RNA (253 nucleotides) under uncultured bacterium. RNAcentral's name for it is "partial 16S ribosomal RNA". It matches the Rfam family "Bacterial small subunit ribosomal RNA", at positions 524 to 776 of the family's 1533-position model. The record is from RNAcentral.
UACGUAGGGGGCAAGCGUUGUCCGGAUUUAUUGGGCGUAAAGAGCGUGUAGGCGGCCAGGUAGGUCAGCUGUGAAAACUCGAGGCUCAACCUCGAGACGCCGGUUGAAACCAUCUGGCUAGAGUCCGGAAGAGGAGAGUGGAAUUCCUGGUGUAGCGGUGAAAUGCGCAGAUAUCAGGAAGAACACCCGUGGCUAAGGCGGCUCUCUAGUACGGUACUGACGCUCAGACGCGAAAGCGUGGGGAGCGAACAGG